CAGAUUGACCUCGGAUCAGGUAGGGAUACCCGCUGAACUUAAGCAUAUCAAUAAGCGGAGGAA
Molecule: ribosomal RNA, 63 nt
Filed under: Aspergillus aculeatus
Lineage: Eukaryota; Fungi; Ascomycota; Eurotiomycetes; Eurotiales; Aspergillaceae
Description: partial 28S ribosomal RNA
Rfam family: Eukaryotic large subunit ribosomal RNA
Source: RNAcentral